UUUUUCGAGCGGGUUUCAAGAGUCUAACGUGAAGACAUUUUGCUCCAAGAAUAUCCUAGCCAUCCUUGGCUUCUCCUCUAUCAUAGCUGUGAUAGCUUUGCUUGCUGUGGGGUUGACCCAGAACAAAGCAUUGCCAGAAAACGUUAAGUAUGGGAUUGUGCUGGAUGCAGGUUCUUCUCACACAAGUUUAUACAUCUAUAAGUGGCCAGCAGAAAAGGAGAAUGACACAGGGGUGGUGCAUCAAGUAGAAGAAUGCAGGGUUAAAGGAUGGAAAGUGAAGAGUUGGCAGACAGGGUUCUGGAUGUGGUGGAGAGGAACCUCAGCAACUACCCCUUUGACUUCCAGGGCGCCAGGAUCAUUACUGGCCAAGAGGAAGGUGCCUAUGGCUGGAUUACUAUCAACUAUCUGCUGGGCAAAUUCAGUCAGAAAACAAGGUGGUUCAGCAUAGUUCCAUAUGAAACCAAUAAUCAGGAAACCUUUGGAGCUUUGGACCUUGGGGGAGCCUCUACACAAAUCACUUUUGUACCCCAAAACCAGACUAUCGAGUCCCCAGAUAAU
This 558-nucleotide small RNA is filed under the name Pongo abelii (Sumatran orangutan). RNAcentral's name for it is "processed transcript". Lineage: Eukaryota; Metazoa; Chordata; Mammalia; Primates; Hominidae. The record is from RNAcentral.